UGUGGUGAUGAUGGCGAGAAGGAUACACCUGUUCCCAUGUCGAACACAGAAGUUAAGCUUCUUAGCGCCGAGAGUAGUUGGGGGAU
This 86-nucleotide ribosomal RNA is filed under the name Lactiplantibacillus plantarum. The record is from RNAcentral. Lineage: Bacteria; Bacillati; Bacillota; Bacilli; Lactobacillales; Lactobacillaceae.